Molecule: ribosomal RNA, 766 nt
Filed under: uncultured Russula
Lineage: Eukaryota; Fungi; Basidiomycota; Agaricomycetes; Russulales; Russulaceae
Description: partial 28S ribosomal RNA
Rfam family: Eukaryotic large subunit ribosomal RNA
Source: RNAcentral
GAAUCCCGUCUUUGGCACGGAUGUACCGGGGCUUUUGUGAUGCGCUCUCGAAGAGUCGAGUUGUUUGGGAAUGCAGCUCAAAAUGGGUGGUGAACUCCAUCUAAAGCUAAAUAUUGGCGAGAGACCGAUAGCGAACAAGUACCGUGAGGGAAAGAUGAAAAGCACUUUGGAAAGAGAGUGAAACAGUACGUGAAAUUGUUGAAAGGGAAACGCUUGAAGUCAGUCGCGUCGACCGAGACUCAGCCUCGCCUCGGCUUGGUGUACUUCUCGGCUGACGGGUCAGCAUCAAUUUUGCCCCUUGGAUAAUGGCGAGGGAAAUGUGACACCUUUGCGGUGUGUUAUAGUCUCUCGUCGCAUGCAAGGGUCGGGAUUGAGGAACUCAGCACGCGCCUUUGGGCGUCGGGGCUUUGCCCACGAUACGUGCUUAGGAUGCUGGCGUAAUGGCUUUAAACGACCCGUCUUGAAACACGGACCAAGGAGUCUAACAUGCCUGCGAGUGUUUGGGUGGAAAACCCAUGCGCGCAAUGAAAGUGAAGGUUGAGAUCCCUGUCGUGGGGAGCAUCGACGCCCAGACCAGACCUUCUGUGACGGAUCUGCGGUAGAGCACGCAUGUUGGGACCCGAAAGAUGGUGAACUAUGCCUGAAUAGGGUGAAGCCAGAGGAAACUCUGGUGGAGGCUCGUAGCGAUUCUGACGUGCAAAUCGAUCGUCAAAUUUGGGUAUAGGGGCGAAAGACUAAUCGAACCAUCUAGUAGCUGGUUCCUGCC